Molecule: transfer RNA, 86 nt
Filed under: Candidatus Colwelliibacteriota bacterium
Lineage: Bacteria; Candidatus Colwelliibacteriota
Description: tRNA-Ser
Rfam family: tRNA
About the family: Transfer RNA (tRNA) molecules are approximately 80 nucleotides in length. Their secondary structure includes four short double-helical elements and three loops (D, anti-codon, and T loops).
Source: RNAcentral
GGAAGGGUGGCUGAGCGGUCCAAAGCGACGGGUUGCUAACCCGUGGGGGCUUGUCCCCCUCGUGGGUUCGAAUCCCACCCCUUCCG